CAGCUGUAUUUUAUUUGUUUGUUCUGUGUUAUUUGCUUUUCUGUAUUGUUUGUAUCUUAUGGGUAGUGUCCCUUUAAGAGCAAAGCACGACAUCACUUUACGGCAGCGUUCCGACUGCAGUUACUAGGGAAACUCCCGGGCUUUAGAGUUUCAGAGCUGCUGCGGAGUAGAGACAUGCCAGUCUCUGCCGUCCUUCUGCAUAGCGCUUGACUUCUUUAUGCCUGAUAUAUGAUGUUUUCCUGCUAGAAAGGGACACUGGGAAGGUGCUCCUGUGCCUGCGGAGGAAGAGAGAGAGGCCGCGGAGUUUCUGUGUCUGUGGACAUCGGCUGCCGUCGUCAUUCUGGGUCGCCAUCCCAGCCAGGACAACCUCUUUCAUCGUUUUGUACGAAUCAGACACACACACAAAUAUAGAGCUCUAUAUGAACUAUUUUUUUUUGCUGGCCAGCUACUUUUAAUUAAAUUUUUUUCUUUUUACCAAGGACCCUGAAAGGAUUCUUUAUAAUCGAAGUAUUUUUUUUUUCUCUUUGUGGGUUUUUCCAGGAAAACUGUAUGACAGUGUUGAGACGAAGUUGGAUGUGUUUCAGUCCAGUAACUUGUAAUAAACAUAACUGGUUGAUAGUAAACUGCUAUCUGAA
Poecilia latipinna (sailfin molly) is the source of this 635-nucleotide long non-coding RNA. RefSeq lists it as uncharacterized. The transcript is spliced from 2 exons. Lineage: Eukaryota; Metazoa; Chordata; Actinopteri; Cyprinodontiformes; Poeciliidae. The record is from RefSeq and is a predicted model, not a curated record.